GACGGAGCAACGCCGCGUGAGUGAUGAAGGUUUUCGGAUCGUAAAGUUCUGUUGUUAGGGAAGAACAAGUACCGUUCGAAUAGGGCGGUACCUUGACGGUACCUAACCAGAAAGCCACGGCUAACUACGUGCCAGCAGCCGCGGUAAUACGUAGGUGGCAAGCGUUGUCCGGAAUUAUUGGGCGUAAAGGGCUCGCAGGCGGUUCCUUAAGUCUGAUGUGAAAGCCCCCGGCUCAACCGGGGAGGGUCAUUGGAAACUGGGGAACUUGAGUGCAGAAGAGGAGAGUGGAAUUCCACGUGUAGCGGUGAAAUGCGUAGAGAUGUGGAGGAACACCAGUGGCGAAGGCGACUCUCUGGUCUGUAACUGACGCUGAGGAGCGAAAGCGUGGGGAGCGAACAGGAUUAGAUACCCUGGUAGUCCACGCCGUAAACGAUGAGUGCUAAGUGUUAGGGGGUUUCCGCCCCUUAGUGCUGCAGCUAACGCAUUAAGCACUCCGCCUGGGGAGUACGGUCGCAAGACUGAAACUCAAAGGAAUUGACGGGGGCCCGCACAAGCGGUGGAGCAUGUGGUUUAAUUCGAAGCAACGCGAAGAACCUUACCAGGUCUUGACAUCCUCUGACAAUCCUAGAGAUAGGACGUCCCCUUCGGGGGCAGAGUGACAGGUGGUGCAUGGUUGUCGUCAGCUCGUGUCGUGAGAUGUUGGGUUAAGUCCCGCAACGAGCGCAACCCUUGAUCUUAGUUGCCAGCAUUCAGUUGGGCACUCUAAGGUGACUGCCGGUGACAAACCGGAGGAACGUGGG
This 800-nucleotide ribosomal RNA is filed under the name Bacillus sp. CO29. Its description in RNAcentral is "bacterial SSU rRNA". It matches the Rfam family "Bacterial small subunit ribosomal RNA", at positions 385 to 1177 of the family's 1533-position model. The record is from RNAcentral. Lineage: Bacteria; Bacillati; Bacillota; Bacilli; Caryophanales; Bacillaceae.